UACGUAGGGUGCAAGCGUUGUCCGGAAUUAUUGGGCGUAAAGAGCUCGUAGGCGGUUUGUCGCGUCUGCUGUGAAAACCCGAGGCUCAACCUCGGGCCUGCAGUGGGUACGGGCAGACUAGAGUGCGGUAGGGGAGAUUGGAAUUCCUGGUGUAGCGGUGGAAUGCGCAGAUAUCGGGAGGAACACCGGUGGCGAAGGCGGUUCUCUGGGCCUGUACUGACGCUGAGGAGCGAAAGCGUGGGGAGCGAACAGG
RNAcentral lists this ribosomal RNA (253 nucleotides) under uncultured bacterium. RNAcentral describes it as "partial 16S ribosomal RNA". It matches the Rfam family "Bacterial small subunit ribosomal RNA", at positions 524 to 776 of the family's 1533-position model. The record is from RNAcentral.